Molecule: ribosomal RNA, 457 nt
Filed under: uncultured bacterium
Lineage: Bacteria
Description: partial 16S ribosomal RNA
Rfam family: Bacterial small subunit ribosomal RNA
Source: RNAcentral
CCUACGGGGUGCAGCAGUGGGGAAUAUUGCACAAUGGGGGAAACCCUGAUGCAGCGACGCCGCGUGAGUGAAGAAGUAAUUCGUUACGUAAAGCUCUAUCAGCAGGGAAGAAACACUGACCUUACGGUCAGCAGACGGUACCUGAGUAAGAAGCCCCGGCUAACUACGUGCCAGCAGCCGCGGUAAUACGGAGGAUGCGAGCGUUAUCCGGAUUUAUUGGGUUUAAAGGGUGCGUAGGCGGGCUUGUAAGUCAGCGGUAAAAAUUCGGGGCUCAACCCCGUCCGGCCGUUGAAACUGGGGGCCUUGAGUGGGCGAGAAGAAGGCGGAAUGCGUGGUGUAGCGGUGAAAUGCAUAGAUAUCACGCAGAACCCCGAUUGCGAAGGCAGCCUUCCGGCGCCCUACUGACGCUGAGGCACGAAAGUGUGGGUAUCAAACAGGAUUAGAUACCCUUGUAGUC